This 252-nucleotide ribosomal RNA is filed under the name uncultured bacterium. RNAcentral's name for it is "partial 16S ribosomal RNA". It matches the Rfam family "Bacterial small subunit ribosomal RNA", at positions 524 to 775 of the family's 1533-position model. The record is from RNAcentral.
UACGAAGGGGCUAGCGUUGCUCGGAAUCACUGGGCGUAAAGCGCACGUAGGCGGACUCUUAAGUCGGUGGUGAAAUCCUGGAGCUCAACUCCAGAACUGCCUCCGAUACUGCGAGUCUCCGAGUUCGGGAGAGGUGAGUGGAACUGCGAGUGUAGAGGUGAAAUUCGUAGAUAUUCGCAAGAACACCAGUGGCGAAGGCGGCUCACUGGCCCGAUACUGACGCUGAGGUGCGAAAGCGUGGGGAGCAACAGG